Molecule: ribosomal RNA, 484 nt
Filed under: uncultured bacterium
Lineage: Bacteria
Description: partial 16S ribosomal RNA
Rfam family: Bacterial small subunit ribosomal RNA
Source: RNAcentral
AUUGAACGCUGGCGGCAGGCCUAACACAUGCAAGUCGAGCGGAUGAAGGGAGCUUGCUCCUGGAUUCAGCGGCGGACGGGUGAGUAAUGCCUAUGAAUCUGCCUGGUAGUGGGGGAUAACGUCCUGAAACGGGCGCUAAUACCGCAUACGUCCUGAGGGAGAAAGUGGGGGAUCUUCGGACCUCACGCUAUCAGAUGAGCCUAGGUCGGAUUAGCUAGUUGGUGGGGUAAAGGCCUACCAAGGCGACGAUCCGUAACUGGUCUGAGAGGAUGAUCAGUCACACUGGAACUGAGACACGGUCCAGACUACUACGGGAGGCAGCAGUGGGGAAUAUUGGACAAUGGGCGAAAGCCUGAUCCAGCCAUGCCGAGUGUGUGAAGAAGGUCUUCGGAUUGUAAAGCACUUUAAGUUGGGAGGAAGGGCAGUAAGUUAAUACCUUGCUGUUUUGACGUUAACAACAGAAUAAGCACCGGCUAACUUCGUG